Molecule: RNA transcript, 1648 nt
Organism: Ipomoea triloba (trilobed morning glory)
Lineage: Eukaryota; Viridiplantae; Streptophyta; Magnoliopsida; Solanales; Convolvulaceae
Exons: 5
Source: RefSeq, a predicted model, not a curated record
CCUUAGCUACCCAUUUUUGAGACACCACCGUUCUUCUCCAUUUGCCGCCGCCGCGCCACCAUUUCCGUAGCCACCGUCACCGCAGCGCAACCGUCGCACGUUAUCGCCACAGAUCUGGUCGCCGUCGCACCUCGUCGCAUGCUGUCGUCGUUGCCUUCUAUCCACAGCCGAAAACGCAAAUGAAGAUGAUGAGUCUGAAGAUCAAUUGGAUGAAAUGUUUCGCAAUGUUGAAGAGGAGUUCACCGAUCGAUCAAACGAGUUUGAUGAAUUAUUGUAUGAUUCAAAAUUACCUUUGUGGCCGGGUUGUAGUAAAUAUACCCGAUUAUCUAUUGUAUUAAAAUUAUUCAACUUGAAAGUUGGGAAUGGGUGGAGUGACAAGAGCUUUACUGCAUUACUUGAAAUAUUAAAGGAUAUGCUUCCAAAUGAUAAUGAACUUCCGAAGAAUACAUAUGAUGCCAAGAUGACACAUGUUAACAUUCCGAUCACAAUGGAGUUAUGGCUUAAAUUCCCAAACGAGACUAAGGACAAUAUUUGGGAAGAUAUUCGGAGUACUUACGAUAUUCCCAACACAAAUGCUAUGAAAGAGCGUUGGAUACAAUAUGUGGGUCAACGGUGAAAAGAUUUUAAAUCAAAAUUGGUUAGCAAGUAUAUUUAUGGUGCUUUCUCACAUAAGAAUCCAUGUGAUGAAUACUCGUUCCUUGACCAAGUGACAUGGAAUGAGUUUGUUAAGGUUCAUACAGGUGCAGAAUAUGAGGCAAAAAGAAAAAAAAUCAAGAAAUACAAGCUAAGAAUGUUCAUCCACAUAGUUUAUCUUGAGGAGGUUAUCAAAGAUUGGAAAAAAUUAUGAUGGAUGAGAAGAUGAAAGAACAACAAGAAAUUGCAAAUUCAGAUCCAUCACAUACAAUUAGUCCUCCAUCUCCUCUACGUAGACACGAAAAGUGGAAUAUAGCAAGAAUGGAUAAGUCUGGAAAUUUUUGCAUUGGAGCGACUAGAAUGGUCGUAGAAAAAUGGAUUCUCUCGAGUUGCAAGCUUUUCAAGAAGAAUUCGUUGCGUCAGGAAGACAUGAUAUAUUACCUGUUGCGCUAGGUAUUGAUCGAUGAGCAUCCUAGGCGUGUUUGAGGCAUGGGAAGAGGAUAUGACAUAAAAAGUGUAUUUGGUCAUGCAAAACGUCCUCCUCAGACGCGUACAGAAGAAGUUAAGCCAAUGAUUGAUUCUGUUGUUGCUGUUGCUGAAGCACGAUUUGAAGCACGGAUUGCUGAGAUGAUGAAACAAUUUAGUAAUAUGCAGACUCCUAUUCAGCAAGCUGCACAAUCAAGACAAGAGGAUGUCAUAUGUGAACAUGUUUUACAACAAAAUGACAGUAAAAAAAAAAAAUUAGUUUCCCAAACCCUUUUGUUGAUUUAUCGGAUGUAAGUAAAUGUUUAUAAUUAAUCUUAUUAUUAUUAUUUAUUAAAAACAUUUUCUAUGAUUCUUUAUUAAUUAAUGCAGUUAGGAGCACGAUGUCAAUUGUACUUGGAAAACCCACUAGACGUCUAGUUGCAUUUGUGAUAGCUUACACUAGUGAAAAAGUUCAUGGGUUGCACUAAAUGUAGAUCAAGUGAAGGUGAGCAUAUACAAAAUCAUUGAUCCAAGUGCAAAGGUACCAUUC